GAUGAACGCUGGCGGCGUGCCUAAUACAUGCCAGUCGAGCGAACAGAUGAGGAGCUUGCUCCUCUGACGUUAGCGGCGGACGGGUGAGUAACACGUGGAUAACCUACCUAUAAGACUGGGAUAACUUCGGGAAACCGGAGCUAAUACCGGAUAAUAUAUUGAACCGCAUGGUUCAAUAGUGAAAGACGGUUUUGCUGUCACUUAUAGAUGGAUCCGCGCCGCAUUAGCUAGUUGGUAAGGUAACGGCUUACCAAGGCAACGAUGCGUAGCCGACCUGAGAGGGGGAUCGGCCACACUGGAACUGAGACACGGUCCAGACUCCUACGGGAGGCAGCAGUAGGGAAUCUUCCGCAAUGGGCGAAAGCCUGACGGAGCAACGCCGCGUGAGUGAUGAAGGUCUUCGGAUCGUAAAACUCUGUUAUUAGGGAAGAACAAAUGUGUAAGUAACUAUGCACGUCUUGACGGUACCUAAUCAGAAAGCCACGGCUAACUACGUG
RNAcentral lists this ribosomal RNA (497 nucleotides) under uncultured bacterium. RNAcentral's name for it is "partial 16S ribosomal RNA". It matches the Rfam family "Bacterial small subunit ribosomal RNA", at positions 28 to 507 of the family's 1533-position model. The record is from RNAcentral.